RNAcentral lists this transfer RNA (88 nucleotides) under Candidatus Eiseniibacteriota bacterium. RNAcentral describes it as "tRNA-Ser". It matches the Rfam family "tRNA". From Rfam's summary of the family: Transfer RNA (tRNA) molecules are approximately 80 nucleotides in length. Their secondary structure includes four short double-helical elements and three loops (D, anti-codon, and T loops). Lineage: Bacteria; Candidatus Eiseniibacteriota. The record is from RNAcentral.
GGAGAGGUGGCCGAGUGGCUGAAGGCGGCACAUUGCUAAUGUGUUGUGGGUCAAAAGCCCACCGGGGGUUCGAAUCCCCCCCUCUCCG